Molecule: ribosomal RNA, 396 nt
Filed under: uncultured bacterium
Lineage: Bacteria
Description: bacterial SSU rRNA
Rfam family: Bacterial small subunit ribosomal RNA
Source: RNAcentral
AUUGAACGCUGGCGGAAUGCUUUACACAUGCAAGUCGAACGGCAGCACGGGUGCUUGCACCUGGUGGCGAGUGGCGAACGGGUGAGUAAUGCACCGGAACGUAUCCAAUAAUGGGGGAUAACGCACCGAAAGGUGUGCUAAUACCGCAUACGCCCUGAGGGGGAAAGCGGGGGAUCGUAAGACCUCGCGUUAAUGGAGCGGCCGAUGCCGGAUUAGCUAGUUGGUGAGGUAAAGGCUCACCAAGGCGACGAUCCGUAGCUGGUCUGAGAGGACGACCAGCCACACUGGAACUGAGACACGGUCCAGACUCCUACGGGAGGCAGCAGUGGGGAAUUUUGGACAAUGGGCGCAAGCCUGAUCCAGCCAUUCCGCGUGAGUGAAGAAGGCCUCGGGUUG